GACGAACGCUGGCGGCGUGCUUAACACAUGCAAGUCGAACGAAGAGCGACGGAAGCUUGCUUCUAUCAAUCUUAGUGGCGAACGGGUGAGUAACGCGUAAUCAACCUGCCCUUCAGAGGGGGACAACAGUUGGAAACGACUGCUAAUACCGCAUACGAUCUAACCUCGGCAUCGAGGAUAGAUGAAAGGUGGCCUCUACAUGUAAGCUAUCACUGAAGGAGGGGAUUGCGUCUGAUUAGCUAGUUGGAGGGGCAACGGCCCACCAAGGCGAUGAUCAGUAGCCGGUCUGAGAGGAUGAACGGCCACAUUGGGACUGAGACACGGCCCAGACUCCUACGGGAGGCAGCAGUGGGGAAUCUUCCGCAAUGGACGAAAGUCUGACGGAGCAACGCCGCGUGAGUGAUGACGGCCUUCGGGUUGUAAAGCUCUGUUAAUCGGGACGAAAGGCCUUCUUGCGAAUAGUGAGAAGGAUUGACGGUACCGGAAUAGAAAGCCACGGCUAACUACGUG
RNAcentral lists this ribosomal RNA (510 nucleotides) under uncultured bacterium. Its description in RNAcentral is "partial 16S ribosomal RNA". It matches the Rfam family "Bacterial small subunit ribosomal RNA", at positions 28 to 507 of the family's 1533-position model. The record is from RNAcentral.